RNAcentral lists this ribosomal RNA (449 nucleotides) under uncultured bacterium. RNAcentral's name for it is "partial 16S ribosomal RNA". It matches the Rfam family "Bacterial small subunit ribosomal RNA", at positions 29 to 523 of the family's 1533-position model. The record is from RNAcentral.
AACGAACGCUGGCGGCAGGCUUAACACAUGCAAGUCGAACGCACCUUUCGGGGUGAGUGGCAGACGGGUGAGUAACGGGUGGGAAUCUACCCUUCUCUACGGGAUAGCUCCGGGAAACUGGAAUUAAUACCGUAUACGUCCUGAGGGAGAAAGAUUUAUCGGGGAAGGAUGAGCCCGCGUUGGAUUAGCUAGUUGGUGGGGUAAAGGCCUACCAAGGCGACGAUCCAUAGCUGGUCUAAGAGGAUGAUCAGCCACAUUGGGACUGAGACACGGCCCAAACUCCUACGGGAGGCAGCAGUGGGGAAUAUUGGACAAUGGGCGCAAGCCUGAUCCAGCCAUGCCGCGUGAGUGAUGAAGGCCCUAGGGUUGUAAAGCUCUUUCAGUGGGGACGAUAAUGACGGUACCCACAGAAGAAGCCCCGGCUAACUUCGUACCAGCCGCCGCGGUAA